RNAcentral lists this ribosomal RNA (893 nucleotides) under uncultured Sphingobium sp. Its description in RNAcentral is "bacterial SSU rRNA". It matches the Rfam family "Bacterial small subunit ribosomal RNA", at positions 631 to 1532 of the family's 1533-position model. The record is from RNAcentral. Lineage: Bacteria; Pseudomonadati; Pseudomonadota; Alphaproteobacteria; Sphingomonadales; Sphingobiaceae.
UAGAUAUAGGCUGAAUCAAGGAGCAGGUGAAUCUGGAAUUCCGAGUUAUAGGUGAAAUUCGUAGAUAUUCGAGGAACACCAGUGCGAAGCGGCUCACUGAACUGUAUUGACGCUGAGUGCGAAGCGUGGGGAGCAACAGAUUAGAUACCUGUAGUCACGCCGUAAACGAUGAUAACUAGCUGUCAGGGCACAUGGUGUUUUGGUGGCGCAGCUAACGCAUUAAGUUAUCCGCCUGGGGAGUACGGUCGCAAGAUUAAAACUCAAAGGAAUUGACGGGGGCCUGCACAAGCGGUGGAGCAUGUGGUUUAAUUCGAAGCAACGCGCAGAACCUUACCAACGUUUGACAUCCCUAUCGCGGAUCGUGGAGACACUUUCCUUCAGUUCGGCUGGAUAGGUGACAGGUGCUGCAUGGCUGUCGUCAGCUCGUGUCGUGAGAUGUUGAGUUAAGUCCCGCAACGAGCGCAACCCUCGCCUUUAGUUGCCAGCAUUUAGUUGGGUACUCUAAAGGAAAAACCGGUGAUAAGCCGGAGGAAGGUGGGGAUGACGUCAAGUCCUCAUGGCCCUUACGCGUUGGGCUACACACGUGCUACAAUGGCGACUACAGUGGGCAGCCACCUCGCGAGAGGGAGCUAAUCUCCAAAAGUCGUCUCAGUUCGGAUCGUUCUCUGCAACUCGAGAGCGUGAAGGCGGAAUCGCUAGUAAUCGCGGAUCAGCAUGCCGCGGUGAAUACGUUCCCAGGCCUUGUACACACCGCCCGUCACACCAUGGGAGUUGGAUUCACUCGAAGGCGUUGAGCUAACCGUAAGGAGGCAGGCGACCACAGUGGGUUUAGCGACUGGGGUGAAGUCGUAACAAGGUAGCCGUAGGGGAACCUGCGGCUGGAUCACCUCCUU